Molecule: ribosomal RNA, 330 nt
Filed under: uncultured bacterium
Lineage: Bacteria
Description: bacterial SSU rRNA
Rfam family: Bacterial small subunit ribosomal RNA
Source: RNAcentral
UGUGUAGGCGGUUUGGUAAGUCUGGUGUGAAAUCUCCCGGCUCAACUGGGAGGGUGCGCCGGAAACUGCUGGACUAGAGUACGGGAGAGGAAAGUGGAAUUCCUGGUGUAGCGGUGAAAUGCGUAGAUAUCAGGAGGAACACCGGUGGUGUAGACGGCUUUCUGGACCGUAACUGACGCUGAGACACGAAAGCGUGGGUAGCAAACAGGAUUAGAUACCCUGGUAGUCCACGCCCUAAACGAUGCAUAUUUGGUGUGGGCAGUUCAUUCUGUCCGUGCCGGAGCUAACGCGUUAAAUAUGCCGCCGGGGGAGUACAGUCGCAAGGCUGAA